Molecule: ribosomal RNA, 450 nt
Filed under: uncultured bacterium
Lineage: Bacteria
Description: partial 16S ribosomal RNA
Rfam family: Bacterial small subunit ribosomal RNA
Source: RNAcentral
GUAGGGAAUCUUCCACAAUGGACGAAAGUCUGAUGGAGCAACGCCGCGUGAGUGAAGAAGGGUUUCGGCUCGUAAAACUCUGUUGUUAAAGAAGAACAUAUCUGAGAGUAACUGUUCAGGUAUUGACGGUAUUUAACCAGAAAGCCACGGCUAACUACGUGCCAGCAGCCGCGGUAAUACGUAGGUGGCAAGCGUUGUCCGGAUUUAUUGGGCGUAAAGCGAGCGCAGGCGGUUUUUUAAGUCUGAUGUGAAAGCCUUCGGCUCAACCGAAGAAGUGCAUCGGAAACUGGGAAACUUGAGUGCAGAAGAGGACAGUGGAACUCCAUGUGUAGCGGUGAAGUGCGUAGAUAUAUGGAAGAACACCAGUGGCGAAGGCGGCUGUCUGGUCUGUAACUGACGCUGAGGCUCGAAAGUAUGGGUAGCAAACAGGAUUAGAAACCCCGGUAGUCC